GUGCUCCCUUCAGCAGCACAUAUACUAAAAUUGGAACGAUACAGAGAAGAUUAGCAUGGCCCCUGCACAAGGAUGACAUGCAAAUUCAUGAAGCGUUCCAUAAAAAG
Molecule: small nuclear RNA, 107 nt
Filed under: Propithecus coquereli (Coquerel's sifaka)
Lineage: Eukaryota; Metazoa; Chordata; Mammalia; Primates; Indriidae
Source: RNAcentral